CGAACGGGUGAGUAACGCGUGAGGAACCUGCCUCAAAGAGGGGGACAACAGUUGGAAACGACUGCUAAUACCGCAUAAGCCCACGGCUCGGCAUCGAGCAGAGGGAAAAGGAGUAAUCCGCUUUGAGAUGGCCUCGCGUCCGAUUAGCUAGUUGGUGAGGUAACGGCCCACCAAGGCGACGAUCGGUAGCCGGACUGAGAGGUUGAACGGCCACAUUGGGACUGAGACACGGCCCAA
RNAcentral lists this ribosomal RNA (237 nucleotides) under uncultured bacterium. Its description in RNAcentral is "partial 16S ribosomal RNA". It matches the Rfam family "Bacterial small subunit ribosomal RNA", at positions 99 to 334 of the family's 1533-position model. The record is from RNAcentral.